GACGAACGCUGGCGGCGUGCUUAACACAUGCAAGUCGAACGGAAAGGCCCUGCUUUUGUGGGGUGCUCGAGUGGCGAACGGGUGAGUAACACGUGAGUAACCUGCCCUUGACUUUGGGAUAACUUCAGGAAACUGGGGCUAAUACCGGAUAGGAGCUCCUGCUGCAUGGUGGGGGUUGGAAAGUUUCGGCGGUUGGGGAUGGACUCGCGGCUUACCAGCUUGUUGGUGGGGUAGCGGCUUACCAAGGCUUUGACGGGUAGCCGGCCUGAGAGGGUGACCGGCCACAUUGGGACUGAGAUACGGCCCAGACUCCUACGGGAGGCAGCAGUGGGGAAUAUUGCACAAUGGGCGGAAGCCUGAUGCAGCAACGCCGCGUGCGGGAUGACGGCCUUCGGGUUGUAAACCGCUUUCGCCUGUGACGAAGCGUGAGUGACGGUAAUGGGUAAAGAAGCACCGGCUAACUACGUG
Molecule: ribosomal RNA, 468 nt
Filed under: uncultured bacterium
Lineage: Bacteria
Description: partial 16S ribosomal RNA
Rfam family: Bacterial small subunit ribosomal RNA
Source: RNAcentral